RNAcentral lists this long non-coding RNA (2182 nucleotides) under Triticum aestivum (bread wheat). RNAcentral's name for it is "long non-coding RNA (TAES_LNC013011)". The record is from RNAcentral. Lineage: Eukaryota; Viridiplantae; Streptophyta; Magnoliopsida; Poales; Poaceae.
GGAAUGUAGAUUAUUUUGCAUUGGAUGUCAAGACUUCUGAACUUACUAAGGUUUGUAGGAGGAGGAGGCAAUUCUUCCAUAAAGAAGAUGUUCACUGCUACUUUGGCUUCCCCCUGUCAUUGUCAAAACCGAGUAUAUGAUGAAGUGGUAAGUUUAUUUUGUUUAUAUUUGGCGCGCUUUGGGAACUGUGUGUUGGCCAGUUGGCUAGUGGCGCGCGUCCGGCUGCGUGCCCAGCCCGCCACCCGCGUUCGAGCCACGGGCUCCGCAAGGUGUGACUGGGUUGUUUCUUCUUUUUUUUUUGAGGGAAAUGCCCUCAUGGCGGUUUAUAUUUCAUGAGCAAAAAGGGCUACAUCUUCUGACAAAAUGUCUAACAAAAAACCCGGAGGCUCGGACUGCCAUACAAUGGUUCGCGAGUCCUCCGACAUAGUAGCUAACAUAUUAGCCGCCAUAUUGGCUUCCUUAGGGCAGUGUUGAAAACUAACUGAAACAAAAUUACGACAAAUAAAAGCGCACUCCUCAUAAAUAGCUGCUGCCGGUCCAAGCGAGUUGCCUCUAGAUUGCAUCACUUGGAUCACUUCCAUACAGUCGGCCUCAAUCACCAGUUUGUUGCAGCCCAUGUCGUUUGCCAGAAUGAGGCCGUCUCGGAGCCCUCGGGCUUCCGCCGUCGCCGCGUCCUCAACGAACCGAAUGUCGCUACAUGAUGCUGCAAUGAAGGAUCCAGAAGCAUCGUGUAAGAUUGCACCUGAACCCCCUGAACCACUGUCCUCAGAAAAAGAGGCAUCUACGUUGAGUUUUACAAAUCCCUCACUUGGCUUGGUCCAUCCAUGUCUCUCAAUCUGGCCUGGACCCUUUUUCUUUGCUCUUGAGAAGUUCUUGGACAGCGUCGAAAUUGCUUGUGCUGAUCUGGGUUGUUUCUUCUUAAUUAAAAUGCCACAGGGCAAAUCCUAGUUGGUCUAGUUUUAAGAACAGAGCAGUGGCCGGUUGGUUAGUGCACAUGCCAAUGAGCUCAGGCAUCCGUGCUCGAGGCGUGGCCUCCGCAGGGUGCCUCACUUCUGCCUAAACAACAUACAGUUUUUGUUUUGGAACAGCGAGCUUCCUCGUCGAUUUCUAUUAGAGAAAAACAACAUAUAGUUAAGGGAGGGAAACUUCCCCCAUUAACCAUGUAUUUUAAUUUUUGGCAUGCUUUGCUGUCCUAAUUGUGCAUGCUGAGAGUUAAUGUUUCAUGCUAUUUUGAGAACAUAUCUAGCCAUUAAAGGUGGUCAUGAUUUAUUUCUGUCCUGUUCAAUAGUUGUCAUGCAACCUGCCAGUCAAAGAAAACAAAUUCAUUACAUAGCAGGAAAGGCAUCUCUAUCCCACCAAAUUUGCAUAUUAUGCUCAUCAGUUAAUGUUUGAGGGCCAUUCACAUUUUUGGAACGGCUUUAAUUUACCAUUCACAUCUUAAGUUCCUGCUACUAUUGUUGUUGUAUACUGCUUCCUAACUGAAAUAAGAAUACAUGAUGGCUAUGGAACAUUUGAAAGCAUGAAAGAGCAGCUUAUGUACAUUUAGUUUGAAACUGUACUGUUUUUUCAAUUUCGCAUGAAAGACAUUACUGUGAAACUAUGGAAGCAUAUUUCUGUUGCAUUUAGAUGACUUGCGUGUUAUGAGUUUUAAUUGAAUAUAUCUGCAGGGAUCAACUCGCUUUGCUUUUGGGGUUCUUGUACUUGGGCCAUGUAUCUGAUGCCUUUGAUGAAAUGGAGGAUGGGCAUGAUGGUGCUGAGAAAUAUGCUCACUGGAUAUAGCACUCAAGCCUUGGUAUUAUUCAUUAAGAAUUAGCCAUCAUGUAUUUUCUAUGGUUGUAUUAGGCUUUUUUAAGCAAAGACAUGUUGUAAACAAGCUGAAUUUGUUGAACUCUAUCUGUAAUGAGUGUUGUACUGUACUUUUGUACUGGAAGCAUGACAUUGUCUGUUUAUCCUUGUUCAGUCCUUAACCUGGCCAUGUUUGCAGCCACAUCAUGCUCUGCUCAGCAUGCUCAUGCAUCAUCUUGCUUUUAAGCAUCUGAUGAUUUGUUACAGGUUGUUGUUGCCCAUGCUGUUUCCAGUGUCCGAGUUAAUGUUUUGUUGGGUGCCUUUUCAGAAUCAGGAAAGCAACAUUUAUCUUGUCAUGUUCAAGUCACAUUUUGAUUUUUGAGGCUUCUGGAAAAAA